GACGAACGCUGGCGGCGUGCUUAACACAUGCAAGUCGAACGGAAAGGCCCUGCUCUUGUGGGGUGCUCGAGUGGCGAACGGGUGAGUAACACGUGAGUAACCUGCCCUUGACUUUGGGAUAACUUCAGGAAACUGCGGCUAAUACCGGAUAGGAGCUCCUGCUGCAUGGUGGGGGUUGGAAAGUUUCGGCGGUUGGGGAUGGACUCGCGGCUUAUCAGCUUGUUGGUGGGGUAGUGGCUUACCAAGGCUUUGACGGGUAGGCGGCAUGAGAGGGGUGCCGGCCACCAGAGGACUGAGGUACGGCCCAGUCUCGUAUGGGACGCAGCAGGGGGGAAUAUGGCAGAAUAGGGGGAAGUCUGAUGCAGCGACGCCCCGAGCGGGAUGCCCGGCUUCGGGUUAUAAACCGCUUUCGCCUGUGACAAAGCGUGAGUGACGGUAAUGGGUAAAAAAGCACCGGCUAACUACGUG
This 468-nucleotide ribosomal RNA is filed under the name uncultured bacterium. RNAcentral describes it as "partial 16S ribosomal RNA". It matches the Rfam family "Bacterial small subunit ribosomal RNA", at positions 28 to 507 of the family's 1533-position model. The record is from RNAcentral.